Molecule: ribosomal RNA, 618 nt
Filed under: Bacillus sp. BY6
Lineage: Bacteria; Bacillati; Bacillota; Bacilli; Caryophanales; Bacillaceae
Description: bacterial SSU rRNA
Rfam family: Bacterial small subunit ribosomal RNA
Source: RNAcentral
GCGUCCCUAAUACAUGCAAGUCGAGCGGACAGAUGGGAGCUUGCUCCCUGAAGUCAGCGGCGGACGGGUGAGUAACACGUGGGCAACCUGCCUGUAAGACUGGGAUAACUCCGGGAAACCGGGGCUAAUACCGGAUAAUUCUUUCCCUCACAUGAGGGAAAGCUGAAAGAUGGUUUCGGCUAUCACUUACAGAUGGGCCCGCGGCGCAUUAGCUAGUUGGUGAGGUAACGGCUCACCAAGGCAACGAUGCGUAGCCGACCUGAGAGGGUGAUCGGCCACACUGGGACUGAGACACGGCCCAGACUCCUACGGGAGGCAGCAGUAGGGAAUCUUCCGCAAUGGACGAAAGUCUGACGGAGCAACGCCGCGUGAGUGAUGAAGGUUUUCGGAUCGUAAAACUCUGUUGUUAGGGAAGAACAAGUACCGGAGUAACUGCCGGUACCUUGACGGUACCUAACCAGAAAGCCACGGCUAACUACGUGCCAGCAGCCGCGGUAAUACGUAGGUGGCAAGCGUUGUCCGGAAUUAUUGGGCGUAAAGCGCGCGCAAGCGGUUUCUUAAGUCUGAUGUGAAAGCCCCCGGCUUAACCCGGAGGGGUCAUUGGAAACUGGGGAACUU